RNAcentral lists this ribosomal RNA (445 nucleotides) under uncultured bacterium. Its description in RNAcentral is "partial 16S ribosomal RNA". It matches the Rfam family "Bacterial small subunit ribosomal RNA", at positions 354 to 796 of the family's 1533-position model. The record is from RNAcentral.
GUGAGGAAUAUUGGUCAAUGGGCGGGAGCCUGAACCAGCCAAGUCGCGUGAAGGAAGAAGGAUCUAUGGUUCGUAAACUUCUUUUGCAGGGGAAUAAAGUGCAGGACGUGUCCUGUUUUGUAUGUACCCUGAGAAUAAGGAUCGGCUAACUCCGUGCCAGCAGCCGCGGUAAUACGGAGGAUCCGAGCGUUAUCCGGAUUUAUUGGGUUUAAAUGGUGCGUAGGUGGUUUGAUAAGUCAGCGGUGAAAGUUUGCAGCUUAACUGUAAAAAUGCCGUUGAAACUGUCGGACUUGAGUGUAAAUGAGGUAGGCGGAAUGCGUGGUGUAGCGGUGAAAUGCAUAGAUAUCACGCAGAACUCCGAUUGCGAAGGCAGCUUACUAAGCUACAACUGACACUGAAGCACGAAAGCGUGGGGAUCAAACAGGAUUAGAAACCCGAGUAGUCC